This is a long non-coding RNA of Callithrix jacchus (white-tufted-ear marmoset), 6934 nucleotides long. RefSeq lists it as uncharacterized. The record is from RefSeq and is a predicted model, not a curated record. Lineage: Eukaryota; Metazoa; Chordata; Mammalia; Primates; Cebidae.
UCUUGGCUCUGCUAUCAGCCUGCUGGGGGACUUAAGGGCAGGUGCUUCAGUUUCCUCAUCUGUCACAGGGCAUGCAGAUGCCAACUCUGUCUCCCUCACAGGUCCCUGUGUGUAACUGGACAAGGGGUGAGGUUGCUCGUUACAUGGCAGAGACAGGGAAUACAACCUCCCCGGUCCGCAGCUCCUGUGGCUCUCAGGAAAGAGAAGCCUCCACACUUGGCACCUGUGGGAACCCAACCCUGGCUGCCCACCCCAGCAGAGGGUAAGCUCCGUGCCAGCUCACUGAUUCUGCACAGAUUGAAGGAGCGCCCAGCAUUUAGCACAGUGCCCAGCCACAGGAGGAACUCAUCUGGUCCACCAAUGAGUGAGUCCAUGAAUGAAUGUGGUUGGUAUCACAUGCCUCUGCUCUUCAGCUUGGAAACUGAGGAAAAAUAACGUGGUAUCACCUGGCCAAAGUCCCACUUAUCAGAACCAGAAAUUACACCUGGUUAUACCUGGUUCUGCCCCAUACCUGGAGGCAGAAUCCUUAUUCAUGGGAGCCAAUUGCAUGCUCCCAAUGAUGGUGUUUUACUCCCUUAAAGGGCAGCAAGGGAAGCCAGUAGAGGUCCUUAUGUUGUUCCAGACAAUAGUCUGUGACGUACAGAUGUCCCUAACACUUCUCCUGUCCCCAUUUAGUUCCAUUUACUUCCUGGAACUAAAUGACUGGGUUCCAGGAAGACACUGCAGCAGACUCUGGCAGCCCCUGGCAAAUGGAGAAGCUCAUCUCUAAGCUUGACAGAGCAGAGGCUGCUGGGACUCCACCCAGACUCAAUUCUCCCUCCAUGCCCAUUCCUAAUCUUAAGCAUCUUCCUCAGGUAGUAUAGGCCCCACUUCCCCCAGGAAGCCCUCAGCAUUUUCCCUCUCUUCUGAGUAUUGUAAACUGAGCAGUGUGGGGCUCUCCUGGAGCUCUAUGAGCAGAAGGAGAUGUAGGGACCUGCUUGCCCAGCCCUCAUUUGAUACAUGAAUUUAUAGAAGGUCAGAGAGGCCAGGUAACCUGCCAAAGUCAUACAACUGAUGACCUGACUGAUCGGCGACAAUUGAUGCAAUUUUUGAAAUUUUGAGUAUUCUAAAAUUUAAAAAAAAUUACCACUUUGAGGACAAGGGAAAAUGAACAACCUCAGGAAAUGUGGUAAUAGACAUCAAAAUAAUGCAUACUUUUAAAAAAGAAUGCAUCCUUUUGACCCUCAGGAUGCAAUUUGAAAUGCGUGCAAAGAUUUAUGUGCAAGGGUGCUCAUCACAGCCUUGUUUAUGAGGGCAAAAGACUGGAAAUAGCUUAAAGGUCCAACACAGAGAUUGGUUAAAUAAAUUAUGGGGCAUCCAUGUGAUGGAAUACCAUGCAGCCAUUAAAAAUGAUGGCCCAGUAAAAGAAUAUUUAACGACGUGGGGAAAUGUUCACUAGAUACUGUAAAGGGAAAAAAAAAACCAGGCUGCAGAACAGCAUGUUCUAUAUGCCUCUGACUUUGCUAAAACAAUUAUUAAAAAAGAAAGCCCAGAGCCCCUGAAGUUAUUUAUGAUAUUGUCCCACCGCCUCCAAGACAUCAGCCUCAUGAAUUCCUAUUUCAGUAUGGCUCAGCAGAAAGCAUGGGAAUUUAAUGUCUGAAGGCCUGAUUCGGAGUCUGGGCUGUGCUCGUUAUUAAUGGGGUGACCUUGGAGCUCCAGACCUCGCUUUCCCUCAUCUGUAAAAUGGGGAUAAGAGUCCUCCAUUAGAAUGGUGUGGAAAGAUACCAAAUGUUGCACAAAUGAUAUUCAAGGGUAGUGUGUGCACGCAUGAAAGAUCCUGGUAAACCCUACAAAGCUGUACAGAUAUUCAGAAUAAUGGGUAUAUUCAUUCCCUAAUUAAACGUAGGACUCUGUGAGGGCCCCAUGAGAUGUAUCAGUCUUCCCUGUCACUCUGCAGCCAGUGCAGUGGCUCACACACUGCUGUGCACAGAAACAUGGGUGGGCCUGCCCCCCACCCCGAAGCCUCAGGCCUGCCCUUCCACCCCUUCGGUACAUCUCUGCCUGCCCGGGGCUGAGCUUAGCAUUGCCUACACACAGAGGAAGAAUGCAGCUGUGGGCGAUGCUGUGGCUGGGGCUAUCCAGCAUGUUCCCAGCAUCCCUGCUUCCCCAGCCCCUGCAGGACCAGGGGAGUGGCCGGAUGUGGAGAGUGCAUCAGGUGUGGUUCCAGGGCUGAGGCCUAGCCAGAAGGCAACAGGCCCUCAGCACCUAGUACAGACUUUAUCUGACUCCUAAGGGUGUCUCAGGGCUAAAGGGGGGUUGCCUGCCUGCCACCUGUGGAGGACUUGGGUCAGGCUGAGACUGGGCCUGCUCUCUCCUCUCCCACCACUCCCUCACAGUGGAGGAUGGGCCAGCAACAUCUCCUCUCUGUGUUUUUGCUUUCUCCAUUGCCUCACAGGCCCCUCCUGGAGGGGCUGGGGAAAUUUUUACCCACUCUCUGAGGGAGGAAAGUGAGCCCCACUCAGGGGAGUUGGCCUGCUCUGAAUCCUGUGGUCACUUAGUUAAGCCCCCAGGCCUAGCUCUGCCCCCUGGCCCUCUGGCCCUCUGCACCAGCCCCUCAGUGGAGGGAGGGACUUCAGGCAACAGAGUCAGGAACUUGGGGGGCACUCAGGGAGCAGUCCUAGGCACUCAUAUUUUUGAUUCAUCGUUCUCUCUCCACAUGCUUUGCAUGCUUUUGCUGUGUGCGGCUCCAGGCUAGAUAGAGGCUGGAAUUGUUUUGGGGGAAAGUGGUAGAGGAAGAGACUGAUACAUAUGUCUUUCAAGCAUAUGGAAAGAAAAUAAUAAAAGAGGCCCAGCAUGAUGAGAAGAUGCUGCAGAAGGUGCUGCUGGGCCUCACCCAGGCCUCCCUUUGCCUGAAGAUGGGCCCCUUCCCCAGCUGCUGCUGGGUGACCAGCGCUUACAACUCCAAAGACUUCCCUAGGGGCCGGAGAGCUGCUGCCCACAGAAAGCCAGCAGGUGACAGUCUCUUCUCCUGUCAGCACCUCUUACUUGGCCCUGUCCAUAAACAGAAGAACUUCACUGUGCCAUGAUUUACUCUCCAAAGGCUCCCAGUGAGUCAGGUCAAGGCCAGGCCUUCCCCAAGACCUUCCCUUGCCUUCCUAUCCUGCUCCCCUGCCUCCCAUGAGGGCUUCACUGAGGAAGCGCUGCUGCGGAAAAUCUUGUGUCCUGAAUCCUUGCCUCAGGCUCUGCCUUGAGGGAACAUGUCAUGACGACUCAAAGCCUGUCAUGCCUUAGCUAAAUAUAACAGGCAUAGACACUACACUUGGAGGCUCUACCCUAAAUAGAACAGCUUCCAAGCACAUUAAUUUUAGAGAGAAAAUGACUUGAUCCUACCAGAAAACAUACUAAAGGCUGGACUGAACGUGAAACCUAGAAAUUCUCUGGUUGUACAAGCCUGGCUGGAGCUAACAUACAAUCACAGCAGAUGCACAUGCAACAAAGAUUAGGUCUGAAGGUGUGUGUGCUGCACACGGAGAAAACACGGACCAAACUUUGGCAUGGCAUGUUCCAGGCAGUAUCUACUGGACUCUGACCUAUGGCUGGUCAAGUCUGCACCCAGCCUCCGACAGCCCCUUGCUGGGCCAGCACCCCAGAGUCCUUCUGAGAUCUUGCUCCUAAACCCACAGGGAAUUCUCCUGGUCACAGGGUAUGUAUGGCUGGUGGCUUAGGAAGCAUCAAGUGCAAUGUUUUUGCCCCAAUCCCUUCUCAUCGCCUUUCAAACCUCAGCCUCCUCCAGGAAGCCCUUAGAAGUUCCAUCUUCAUAUUUCUCCCUCCCUGACUGUCAGCAGGCUUCAGCUGGCUCCAGUAUGAGCAGCUGGGAAUGGAGUGACCUGGAGAUUGGCACACUUUUUGGCCCCACCCUUGUGCACAGGAUGGGGACACAGUAGAAAGGAAAUGCUAGAGAAAUACACACUUUCAGGGCUGGAUGACUUGGGCCACCAGACAUGCCAUGAAUUCCUGGUCAUCCUUCAGGUCACAGGGCAGACGUCCUCUCAAGUUAGGCACCCUCCUCUGACCAUAGGUCCAGUGUCUAUUGCUCUGCAGGCUGGAGCUUUAUUGGCCCUGCUCUCUGUCCUAUCCUAGUGCCCAGGACAGAGCCUGGUACAUAGAAAUCACUCAAUCAAUGCUUGUGAAAUGGAAGAACAUCUUGAGAAGUGACCCACACCCAGACAAAGGGUGGAUACUGCACGCAGACAAGCCUCAUGUCUUCCUCACAUGUACUGGGCCAAAGACAUGUGAUGAGAAGAGGCUAUAAAGCAAGGCUGCCAGGGCCUCAGAGGCUUGCUUAGGCUGCCACAAGGGAGAAAGUUUAUCUCAGGAUGUCAAGAUAAACCUUGUUCAGGAUUCCACCUGAAUGAGCCUAAUAACAGCAGCUAUCACUUCCUGUGAUCACGACUGUGCACCGGGCACUGGCUAAGCAUUUCCUACACACGAGUUUACCAUUGCAAAGAAUAGGAAGUAGCAAGUUUUCAUACUCAUCAUCUAACCUCCUUCCCUGUGGCCCCUCUGGGACACCAACCCAUCCUUAUUAUGUCAAGUGAGUAGGUGAAGGGCAAUUCCAGGCAGUCACCAGCACACACUAAGGCGGGGUACGGGCAAAUCUUUCCUCUUCCCACUCUAGGGACAGUCAGGAGGAGAGCUGAUACCAGACACCCUCCUAGGACUUCGGAUACCCAGGAGGUGAAGCUGGGAUGGAUGGAGUGGGGAGUGGUGAUAUCACAGCAUUGGUAGGAGCCUUUGUGAGUUGGGGUUCCAGCAGGAAACGUGGUAUACCCUUAGGGACUAAUGGAGGACAAUUCCAAGAGGACAGUGAAUUAGUGCAUGAACAGGGAUAAGGAAAACCAACAAGGGUGAUACAGCACCCCGAUGCUAACAGUGGGAGCUCUCACCACCCCAACCUGAGGGGCAAAGGGAAGUCUUCUCUGUAGAGAAGCUGAAGGAGUAACCGCAUAGUGGAACCUAUGGCCUUGGUAGAAGGGCCCAUCCAAGGAGCUUUUGCCCUUCGUUCUGUGUCCUGCCACCCUCGGUCCUACUAGGCACCUCGUAGGUAGUGGGUGGUGGCAGUGAGUGCACACUGUCUAGCACAUGGUCAUUGCUAGUUUGCUGGUUUCUGUUUCUUACAUUUUCUUGGAAAUCUGUUGAUUAUCUAAGUUUCCCUGCAGCCUUUCAGGAGAUCCUGUUUUGCUUAAGUUAGCUAGCGGUGCUUUCUGUUGCUUGCAACCACAAACUUUACAAGGCAUUAUAUUAGUCUGUUCUUGCGUUGCUGUAAAAAAUACCUGAGACUGAGUAAUUUAUAAAGAAAAGAUGUUUAAUUGGCUCAUGGUUCUACAGGCUGUCCGAGAAGCAUAGCAGCUUCUGCUUCUGGGGAUGCUUCAGAAAGCUUUCCAAUCAUGGCUGGAGGCAAAAAGGGGGUGAGGCAUCUCACAUGGUGAGAGCAGGAGCAAGACAGAGUGAGGGAGGAGGUGCUACACACUUUUAAACAACCAGAUCUUAUGGGAACUCAUAGCAACACCAGGAAGGAUGGUGCUAAACCAUUGAAGAGAAACCGCCCCCAUGAUCCCCUCACCUCCCACCAGACCCUACCUCCAGCAUUAGGGAUUACGUUUCAACAUGAGAUUUGGGUGGGGACGUGGAUCCAAAUCAUGUCAGGCAGCAUGCUAGUAUUAUUCCCUUUAGCAAAUAAGGAAACUGAGGCUCCCAGAAGUUUUGGUGCGGUCAGAUCAUACAGGCUGGCAGUGGCCUGCAUGAGUCAGGUUGUGAAGGCUGCUCUGGGUGUGGUUAAAGCUCUUAGCAUAGAGCAGCUGGCCCCAUGGGGAUCUAGAAGGCUGUUGGUCCCAGGCAGUGGAGGGCCUGGCUCACCCCUUUGUCAGAGGCAUUUAAACCAGAGCAACUCCAUCUUGAAUAGGGCCUGGGUAAAAUGAGGCUAAGACCUGCUGGCCUUCAUUCCCAGUAAGUUAGCAUUCUAAGUCACAGGAUGAGAAAGAGUUGGCACAAGAUACAGGUCAUAAAGAUCUUGCCUAUAAAACAGGUUGCAGUAAAGAAGCUGGCUAAAUCCCACCAAAACCAAGAUGGUGAUGAGAGUGACCUCUUGUCAUCUCACUGCUACACUCCCGCCAGUGCCAUGACUGUUUACAAAUGCCAUGGCAAUGUCAGGAAGCUACCCUAUAUGGUCUAAGAAGGGGAGGAACCCUCAAUUCCAGGAAUUGCCCACCCCUUUCCCUGGAAAACUCAUGAAUAAUCCACCCCUUGUUUAGCAUAUCAUCAAGAAAUAACCACAAAAAUGGGUAACGAGUAGCCAUUGUUUAGCAUAGUAAACAAUCGUAGCAUUGUUUAGUAACCUUGUUUAGCAUACAGUCAAGAAAUAACCAUAAAAUGGGUAACCAGUAGGGCUAUGGAAUAGCCAUUCUUUUAUUCCUUUACUUUCCUAAUAAAUUUGCUUUCAGUUUACUGUAUGAAGCUGCCCAGAAUUCUUUCUUGUGCGAGAUCCAAGAACCCUCUCUUGGGGUCUGCAUUAGGCCCUUUCCUGGUAACACUUUCAGCACGAGUAAGGAUUACGGCUCGGCCAUACCCACCUCGUGUUUGCUUCUCUCUGCGUCUGGCCGACCACUUUUCUUCCUGUCGCUGACUGUCCAACCACUUGUGGCACCGGAGCAGCUGACAGGCAGAGUCACACCAUGCCACAUAGGGCCUCAUGCAAGGAACGGGCCAGAGCAGGGCUGGGUGGGGAAGGUGACUUGGACAGUUGAGUUUGAAUAAACAGGUCACAAUGGUGUCGUGGAGGUGGAGGCGGAGCUUAUGGGAACAGGGAGGAAGGAGGCUGUGGGUGGGCCCAAACUGGCCCUGCCUGGAGGGAAGGCCUGAGGCUAGGGGUGAGGAGUCCCCACACAUCUGCCUUUCU